CCACCACUAAGCCAGUGGUGAACUCCACAUACGCAUCCUUUGCUGAGGAUACGGUUAACGGAGCGAAAGCGACGUUCAACCUCAAAAGAAGCAGAGGGGGCUUAGUGGUGGGGUGACUGCGUACCUUUUGUAUAAUGGGUCAGCGACUUAUAUUCUGUAGCAAGGUUAACCGAAUAGGGGAGCCGGAGGGAAACCGAGUCUUAAUUGGGCGUUAAGUUGCAGGGUAUAGACCCGAAACCCGGUGAUCUAGCCAUGGGCAGGUUGAAGGUUGGGUAACACUAACUGGAGGACCGAACCGACUAAUGUUGAAAAAUUAGCGGAUGACCUGUGGCUGGGGGUGAAAGGCCAAUCAAACCGGGAGAUAGCUGGUUCUCCCCGAAAGCUAUUUAGGUAGCGCCUCGUGAAUUCAUCUCCGGGGGUAGAGCACUGUUUCGGCUAGGGGGCCAUCCCGGCUUACCAACCCGAUGCAAACUGCGAAUACCGGAGAAUGUUAUCACGGGAGACACACGGCGGGUGCUAACGUCCGUCGUGAAGAGGGAAACAACCC
Molecule: ribosomal RNA, 547 nt
Filed under: Salmonella enterica
Lineage: Bacteria; Pseudomonadati; Pseudomonadota; Gammaproteobacteria; Enterobacterales; Enterobacteriaceae
Description: partial 23S ribosomal RNA
Rfam family: Bacterial large subunit ribosomal RNA (bases 89-547)
Source: RNAcentral